UAUAUGAUUUUGAGGAAGAAAGCCUUGUGGAGGAUUUUGGCAACUUGUGCCUAUCUCAAUCUAGUUCAUAUGUUGAUGAGGAUUAGGUGAAAGGAAGUUAUUUUAAGUUGUUGCCUUUCAUUAAAUUUGGUGGAACUAAAGGAGAGUUACAUGUGGUGACCUUUUUGCUUGAAAGUGCUCUAAUUUUGGAGAGGUUGGUCAUAUCUUGUUCACUUGAUAAGUUCUCUGGAGGUGUAGGGCGGCAAAAGGAGGUUCAUGAUCAGCUAAUGCUAUCUAGACGACCAAGGACUUGUGCAACUGAAUUUUCAUGAGCCUUUCUUGAAAUUCCAACCACAGUUUGGUCAUUUCUGAGUGUUUGUUUCCAACAUUAUCUAGAACAUGUAAGAAUUAUGGCAGGACAUCUUUUGCUUCAUGUUUUGACUUCCGUCAUCUAAUUUCAACCAUAGCUCUAGAGUUGUUUGUUUUCAACUA
Quercus lobata is the source of this 471-nucleotide long non-coding RNA. RefSeq lists it as uncharacterized. NCBI's taxonomy places the organism in Eukaryota, Viridiplantae, Streptophyta, Magnoliopsida, Fagales, Fagaceae. The transcript is spliced from 2 exons. The record is from RefSeq and is a predicted model, not a curated record.